AAGGCUUUAAGUUAAAACUAAACUAAUAACCUUCAAAGCUAUAAAUAAAGAAUCUCUUUAAGUCUUA
Molecule: transfer RNA, 67 nt
Filed under: Eupolyphaga sinensis
Lineage: Eukaryota; Metazoa; Arthropoda; Insecta; Blattodea; Corydiidae
Description: tRNA-Trp
Source: RNAcentral